RNAcentral lists this ribosomal RNA (435 nucleotides) under uncultured bacterium. RNAcentral describes it as "partial 16S ribosomal RNA". It matches the Rfam family "Bacterial small subunit ribosomal RNA", at positions 29 to 507 of the family's 1533-position model. The record is from RNAcentral.
AACGAACGCUGGCGGCAUGCCUAACACAUGCAAGUCGAACGAUUGCCUUCGGGUGAUAGUGGCGCACGGGUGCGUAACGCGUGGGAAUCUGCCCUUAGGUUCGGAAUAACAGCUGGAAACGGCUGCUAAUACCGGAUGAUAUCGCGAGAUCAAAGAUUUAUCGCCUGAGGAUGAGCCCGCGUUGGAUUAGGUAGGUGGUAGGGUAAAGGCCUACCAAGCCGACGAUCCAUAGCUGGUCUGAGAGGAUGAUCAGCCACACUGGGACUGAGACACGGCCCAGACUCCUACGGGAGGCAGCAGUGGGGAAUAUUGGACAAUGGGCGCAAGCCUGAUCCAGCAAUGCCGCGUGAGUGAUGAAGGCCCUAGGGUUGUAAAGCUCUUUUACCCGGGAAGAUAAUGACUGUACCGGGAGAAUAAGCCCCGGCUAACUCCGUG